RNAcentral lists this ribosomal RNA (265 nucleotides) under uncultured archaeon. RNAcentral's name for it is "partial 16S ribosomal RNA". It matches the Rfam family "Archaeal small subunit ribosomal RNA", at positions 717 to 982 of the family's 1478-position model. The record is from RNAcentral.
ACACGACUACAUUAGAUACCCGCGUAGUCCCAGCCCUAAACGAUGCGCGUUAGGUGUAUCGGUGACCACGAGUCACCGAGGUGCCGAAGGGAAACCGUGAAACGUGCCGCCUGGGAAGUACGGUCGCAAGGCUGAAACUUAAAGGGAUUGGCGGGGGAGCACCACAACGGGUGGAGCCUGCGGUUUAAUUGGACUCAACGCCGGGAAGCUCACCGGAUAAGACAGCGGAAUGAUUGCCGGGCUGAAGACCCUGCAUGACCAGCUG